This 379-nucleotide ribosomal RNA is filed under the name uncultured eukaryote. RNAcentral describes it as "partial 18S ribosomal RNA". It matches the Rfam family "Eukaryotic small subunit ribosomal RNA", at positions 592 to 975 of the family's 1831-position model. The record is from RNAcentral.
CAAUAGCGUAUAUUAAGGUUGUUGCGGUUAAAAAGCUCGUAGUUGGAUUUCUGCUGAGAACGACCGGUCCGCCCUUUGGGUGUGUAUCUGGCUCUUUCUUGGCAUCUUCUUGGUGAACGUUGCUGCACUUGACUGUGUGGAGCGCUACCCAGGACUUUUACUUUGAGGAAAUUAGAGUGUUUCAAGCAGGCAUACGCCUUGAAUACAUUAGCAUGGAAUAAUAAGAUAGGACCUCGGUUCUAUUUUGUUGGUUUCUAGAGCUGAGGUAAUGAUUAAUAGGGAUAGUUGGGGGCAUUCGUAUUUAACUGUCAGAGGUGAAAUUCUUGGAUUUGUUAAAGACGGACUACUGCGAANGNAUUUGCNAAGGAUGUUUNCAUUG